GAUUAACGCUGGUGGCGUGCAUAACACAUGCAAGUCGAACGAUGAAACUCAUUAGAUUUCUUCGGAAUGAAAAUGAAUGGAUUAGUGGCGAACGGGUGAGUAACGCGUGAGUAACCUGCCUUACACAAGGGGAUAGCCUCUGGAAACGGAGAAUAAUACCCUAUGAAACCAGACAAUCGCAUGAUAAUCUGGUCAAAAUGUUUAGUGGUGUAAGAUGGACUUGCGUCUGAUUAGCUAGUUGGUGAGAUAAAAGCUCACCAAGGCAACGAUCAGUAGCCGGCUUGAGAGAGUGUACGGCCACAUUGGGACUGAGACACGGCCCAGACUCCUACGGGAGGCAGCAGUGGGGAAUUUUGCACAAUGGGGGAAACCCUGAUGCAGCGACGCCGCGUGAUUUAGAAGGCCUUCGGGUUGUAAAAAUCUUUUGUAUAGGAAGAAAAUGACAGUACUAUACGAAUAAGGUCCGGCUAAUUACGUG
RNAcentral lists this ribosomal RNA (478 nucleotides) under uncultured bacterium. RNAcentral's name for it is "partial 16S ribosomal RNA". It matches the Rfam family "Bacterial small subunit ribosomal RNA", at positions 28 to 507 of the family's 1533-position model. The record is from RNAcentral.